UACAGAGGGUGCAAGCGUUGUUCGGAAUUACUGGGCGUAAAGGGCGCGUAGGCGGCCAACUAAGUCAGACGUGAAAUCCCCUGGCUUAACCGGGGAACUGCGUCCGAUACUGGUUGGCUUGAGUUUGGGAGAGGGAUGCGGAAUUCCAGGUGUAGCGGUGAAAUGCGUAGAUAUCUGGAGGAACACCGGUGGCGAAGGCGGCAUCCUGGACCAAUACUGACGCUGAGGAGCGAAAGCCAGGGGAGCAAACGGG
This 253-nucleotide ribosomal RNA is filed under the name uncultured bacterium. RNAcentral describes it as "partial 16S ribosomal RNA". It matches the Rfam family "Bacterial small subunit ribosomal RNA", at positions 524 to 776 of the family's 1533-position model. The record is from RNAcentral.